UAUAUGAUAAGCAAGCUAUGACAUGGUGUUGAUAGUCUUGAUGCCAUGGCACUUACUUGUCUGCAUAAGUGUAGCUAGGGUACAUGUUCUUCAUGAUUGCCAGCAAAUCCUUUAGGUCCAUUUGGUCCAGUGAGCAUAUGUAUCUCUCAGAUGGCCCUGCCUUGUUGUACAACAGGAGCAAUGCGUCGGCAACAUCGCGAACGUCUACGAUGGGAAAGAACUUGUUGUUCAUCGUGUCAGGGCCUCCUGCGAUCGGACAUAUGAUGGAACUACAUUAGGCACAAGGAUGUGUAUUUUAAAAGGUCAUUCUCUGAACUUCAUUAAAACCGGGGGUGUCUUAUUACACUAUUAAUAUAAAAGCCGAGGAGCUCCUCCGGUGUCAAUUUUUGUUCUGAACUUCAUCGCUCUGCUGCACUUCGACAACAAAAACAGCAAAAUGGAAGGAAAACAACCGGCUUUGGUUACCAAAAGUACUAACCUCUAACCACAUGUGAUGUGCAAUGUACAAAAUGAUUAUGUAUCCUUGUGAUAGAUGAGCUGAGGAGUGGAACCUUUUAUCAUGUAGACGAGGACCUUGCUGCUGGUAUUGACCGCCACAUGCUGCAACAGAGGGCCGAAGACCAGACCAGGGCAAAGUGCGACGACGUGCAGCUCGUUCUUCUCUCCGUAUUCCAGGGCCGAAGACCGGACUAUCCAGACGGUUAAAUUUUGUGGAGCUUGCUUAAUGUCCUAACAUGCUCGGAUGUAUGAGGAAUAAGAUUUUACCUUGGAUAUGACCAUUUGUGUGAUUUAUUUGUAUGUAUUGUAGCCUGGGGGGACUAUCCAGACGGUUAAAUUUUGUGGAGCUUGCUUAAUGUCCUAACAUGCUCGGAUGUAUGAGGAAUAAAAUUUGACGUUGGAUAUGACCAUUUGUGUGAUUUAUUUGUAUGCAUUGUAGCCCGUAGCAACGCACGGGUGUACUACUAGUGUUCAUAACUCUGCAGUCACUACUUUUAGAGUACUCCUCCAGAGUCCGCUUUCUCUUGACGGAAGUGAGCACGAAUGCACAAUUUUUACAUUUGCAUCCAUCCUGAAUGGACUAGUGGAGGAGUCGAGAAAUAGAGACCUAACCCGUGCUUAUUUUUGCAAAACACAUUUCAUGAUGUUUCAGGCCAAAUGCAGAAUCAAUGGCACAAUUAUGGGAUCAUUCUCAUUCCUGGAUAGGCGGCAUUCGGUAGAUGAAUGGAAGCCGGCAUGGUUCGUCGUCUGUAACCCCAAGAAGCCCUGCUUUUUCAUAGGACUCGAUACAAUCCACGAGUGUCUCCUCCAUCUUCCUUGGUUUCCACCCUAAAUUGUUCAGCUUGUCCGAAGUGACUCCGACGUUAAAGUCCACAUCAACCAUCCUGCCAACCCAAAAUUUCGUAAUGAAAAUCCUUCGUAGUAUAUGAUAAGCAAGCUAUGACAUGGUGUUGAUAGUCUUGAUGCCAUGGCACUUACUUGUCUGCAUAAGUGUAGCUAGGGUACAUGUUCUUCAUGAUUGCCAGCAAAUCCUUUAGGUCCAUUUGGUCCAGUGAGCAUAUGUAUCUCUCAGAUGGCCCUGCCUUGUUGUACAACAGGAGCAAUGCGUCGGCAACAUCGCGAACGUCUACGAUGGGAAAGAACUUGUCGUUCAUCGUGUCAGGGCCUCCUGCGAUCGGACAUAUGAUGGAACUACAUUAGGCACAAGGAUGUGUAUUUUAAAAGGUCAUUCUCUGAACUUCAUUAAAACCGGGGGUGUUUUAUUACACUAUUAAUAUAAAAGCCGAGGAGCUCCUCCGGUGUCAAUUUUUGUUCUGAACUUCAUCGCUCUGCUGCACUUCGACAACAAAAACAGCAAAAUGGAAGGAAAACAACCGGCUUUGGUUACCAAAAGUACUAACCUCUAACCACAUGUGAUGUGCAAUGUACAAAAUGAUUAUGUAUCCUUGUGAUAGAUGAGCUGAGGAGUGGAACCUUUUAUCAUGUAGACGAGGACCUUGCUGCUGGUAUUGACCGCCACAUGCUGCAACAGAGGGCCGAAGACCAGACCAGGGCAAAGUGCGACGACGUGCAGCUCGUUCUUCUCUCCGUAUUCCAGGGCCGAAGACCGGACUAUCCAGACGGUUAAAUUUUGUGGAGCUUGCUUAAUGUCCUAACAUGCUCGGAUGUAUGAGGAAUAAGAUUUUACCUUGGAUAUGACCAUUUGUGUGAUUUAUUUGUAUGUAUUGUAGCCUGGGGGGACUAUCCAGACGGUUAAAUUUUGUGGAGCUUGCUUAAUGUCCUAACAUGCUCGGAUGUAUGAGGAAUAAAAUUUGACGUUGGAUAUGACCAUUUGUGUGAUUUAUUUGUAUGCAUUGUAGCCCGUAGCAACGCACGGGUGUACUACUAGUGUUCAUAACUCUGCAGUCACUACUUUUAGAGUACUCCUCCAGAGUCCGCUUUCUCUUGACGGAAGUGAGCACGAAUGCACAAUUUUUACAUUUGCAUCCAUCCUGAAUGGACUAGUGGAGGAGUCGAGAAAUAGAGACCUAACCCGUGCUUAUUUUUGCAAAACACAUUUCAUGAUGUUUCAGGCCAAAUGCAGAAUCAAUGGCACAAUUAUGGGAUCAUUCUCAUUCCUGGAUAGGCGGCAUUCGGUAGAUGAAUGGAAGCCGACAUGGUUCGUCGUCUGUAACCCCAAGAAGCCCUGCUUUUUCGUAGGACUCGAUACAAUCCACGAGUGUCUCCUCCAUCUUCCUUGGUUUCCACCCUAAAUUCUUCAGCUUGUCCGAAGUGACUCCGACGUUAAAGUCCACAUCAACCAUCCUGCCAACCCAAAAUUUUGUAAUGAAAAUCCUUCGUAGUAUAUGAUAAGCAAGUUAUGACAUGGUGUUGAUAGUCUUGAUGCCAUGGCACUUACUUGUCUGCAUAAGUGUAGCUAGGGUACAUGUUCUUCAUGAUUGCCAGCAAAUCCUUUAGGUCCAUUUGGUCCAGUGAGCAUAUGUAUCUCUCAGAUGGCCCUGCCUUGUUGUACAACAGGAGCAAUGCGUCGGUAACAUCGCGAACGUCUACGAUGGGAAAGAACUUGUUGUUCAUCGUGUCAGGGCCUCCUGCUAUCGGACAUAUGAUGGAACUACAUUAGGCACAAGGAUCUGUAUUUUAAAAGGUCAUUCUCUGAACUUCAUUAAAACCGGGGGUGUCUUAUUACACUAUUAAUAUAAAAGCCGAGGAGCUCCUCCGGCGUCAAUUUUUGUUCUGAACUUCAUCGCUCUGCUGCACUUCGACAACAAAAACAGCAAAAUGGAAGGAAAACAACCGGCUUUGGUUUCCAAAAGUACUAACCUCUAACCACAUGUGAUGUGCAAUGUACAAAAUGAUUAU
This 3357-nucleotide long non-coding RNA is filed under the name Triticum aestivum (bread wheat). Its description in RNAcentral is "long non-coding RNA (TAES_LNC007509)". The record is from RNAcentral. Lineage: Eukaryota; Viridiplantae; Streptophyta; Magnoliopsida; Poales; Poaceae.